This 5949-nucleotide long non-coding RNA is filed under the name Brachypodium distachyon (stiff brome). RNAcentral's name for it is "long non-coding RNA (BDIS_LNC001727)". The record is from RNAcentral. Lineage: Eukaryota; Viridiplantae; Streptophyta; Magnoliopsida; Poales; Poaceae.
GCCGGGAAUAUUAGGACGGGCAGAUCAUUAUAGACAUUUUUUUAGAUUUUUUUAUUUGUUAAUAAUUUGAGGAUUCCUAUUUCUCUAAGGAGAACCUUGAGAUCUUCCUCCCCGCCGAUCAAGCAGCAACACAGCCCGUGAUAGGCUUAGCUUAAGUCGCUAACGUUCGGUUUGGUCAAGUAAAGUCCCUUCGGUCGGUUCGCUCAGGUGGUCUUCCCUUAUUUUCCCUAACGUUUAGAGUUGGUAGAUUUUCUACUUUUCCAUUUUCCUUCUUGUUUAUCAAUCACCAAUCAAGACAAACCGGGCACUAUGGUGAGACGUGAAAACACCCGAUCCCAUUCCGACCUCGAUAUAUAUGUGGAAUCGUCUUGUGCCAUAUGUACUGAAAUUGUUCGGGAGACAUGGUCAAAGCCCGGAGAAAGAGCAAGAAAACUAAAGAAAGCGUUAGCGCAUUGGACUCGAAAUCCAAAUUGUGACGGAUAGUUUUUUGAACCGCAUGUUGUAAACGACCAAGAGCCAGUCCGAAUUGAUCUUGUAACAGAUCUGCAACCGAACGAAUACGUUUAUUUUUCAAGUGAUUCAUAUCGUCAUCAUCAAGUAUACCCGUUCCAAAAGUUAAUCAACUAACUUCGUUACCUAGUUAUUACCUAAAUAAGGAUAUUUAUGAAAAAAAAAGUGGAAUCAUUUAACUUUCUAUUCAUUUUUCUAUUUCUUUAAAACAAAGAUGAAGCAGCUCCCUUGUUUAGAGAACUUAAAUCAUAAUUACUAUAAUUACCUAAGUUUUAUAAUGUCUUGUUUAAGAGACUCAGUAUUUUUUGUUUUUUAAUUCGAAUUCCAUUAUGGAAUACCAUUCUUAACUUAAUUAAAUAAAUUAAAUACUUGUAUUUUCCGUUCUUUUUACCCCCUCGUCUUAUAUGGGGGAUAGACUUCCGUACCAUAUAUCUAUAUAUGGAGUAUCCUUGAUAUAUAAAUAUAUAGAUAAAUAGAUUUAAAUGAAAAACAUUUCUAUAUAUUCUAUAUUAUUAAAACAAAGUAUAAAAUAUAUACGGAAAAAGUGCUAACAAAUUCUUGUCUUAUCUGCAUUAGACAAAAUGAAGUAAAAAAUAAUUCAGAAUUUAAAUAUCUUUCAGUAUAUAAGUAUAAAUACUAAGAAAAAGAAGAAAGAAAGAAGGAUUGAUUUGUGGCAAUAGAUGUCUUUCACAUGCAACUAGAAAAAAGUAAUUUCCUUUUUGAAUGGCAGUUCCAAAAAAACGUGAUUCAAUGUCAAAAAAGCGUAUUCGCAAAAUUAUUUGGAAAAAUAAGAAGCAAGAAAUAACGAUUGCAAAAAACCUUCUUUUUUCUUUCAAAAGUCUAUAAAAACUAUAUUGCCAAUUCCAUUUUAGUUAUAUUCUUUUUUCUUAAUGUUAAUAAAAAAAAGAAGAAAAUUCUUGUUACACGCAGGUUACAGGGGUAUGCACCAAUGCACGUACCAAUGGUCAUGUACCAGCAGAUGGAUGUAUACCCAAUUUGUGAUAAAUAAAAGACGUUUUAUCUCACGGAAUUGGUUAUCUUUCUUGCAUUUGUUGAUCAUAUGUUGCAGGGUGAAAGAAGCAGGAGGUUGAGCGGACACGUGAAUGAAUCUAGACCUCUAAUUGACUAAUUUCGUAUUUGGUGAUUAUUACUGACAGUAAAGAAUCGGAACUAACAACAACGUUUUUACAAAAAGAAGACAAUGUUUGUUGACUUCACGGGAAUGUCAGGUCGCUGUUACGUGAUGGUGUCAAUGGGCAUGUCGUUGACUUCACGGGAAUGUUAAUGUGAUUAUUUUUUUCAAUAAUGCAACCCAACGGAUGCAUCAUCGAUUAAACAAGAAGAGUCAGAAGGCUAGUACAACACCGAAAUGACAAUACAAUGGCAACUAAUGGCAAAAUGAAAAAAAAAAAUAAAGGACUAUGUGCUAACUAUCCAACCAAGGCCGGAAAAAAAACUCUACCCCUAAAGAGUCCCGCAUGCUCCUAGCGACCAAACUCCACCUGGAUGUUGAGAAGGAUUCCCGCCAUUGAAGGUGUCGCCCCGUUGAAGACCACAUUAUUCCGAUGGCACCAGAUGUCCUUCGGAGCCUCACGCGGAAAGGAUAGGGAAGACCACCAAUCUCACAAUGUAAAGUCCGCAUUAGGUGCCCAAUCCACAUGUCCCCAAGCCGCCCACAAGUGCUCCCAAACUUGCCUCGCCAUGAAACAGACCAAGAGCAAAUGGGAAAUGGUCUCCAUCUCUUGAUCGCAUAGGGGGCAUCUGUCCGGCCCGGGUGAGGAAGACCACCUCUCGCAAGCCGGUCCGCCGUCCAGCAUCAAUUCCGUAGCGCAAGCCAGGCGAAUAAUCGGCAUUUCUCUGGUUCCUGCGAGCUCCACACCUCGGCAGCCAACAGAUCAAUCAUGCGGCCAGCAAAAAGGUUCACAUAAGCAGACUUGGCCGAAGAGCCACCGUCGCGAGACCAAUUCCACGCAAGGGAAUCGGUCAUCCCAUCCUCAAGCUGGACCCCACGAAGCCAGUCCCAAAGGGUGAGGAUCUCCUCGAGAGCAUCAUCAUCGAGAUUGGGACCCACAUCGCCAGUCCACGCGCCAAGAAGAGCAUCUCUCACAAUGCACGUACGAACAAUCAUUGGGCAGACACGGCCCACAAAGUGCAGGAAACGCAUCCCAAAUACGGAUGCUCUGCAGCCAACGAUCAGUCCAAAAAAGAGUCCUCUGGUCAUCGCCCACCUGGGAGGAAGUGGCCGCCUCGAAGAUAGCAUCAACCUCCUGGGGUUUUCCACAGUGAAGCCGACCCAAGCUUGAAAUCAUCCACCAGUUCCAACCAUCUCCAUCGAACCCUCAAAGCCUCAUGAGCAUGCGGAGAUUUGGAAUCCCGAGGCCACCAAUUUUGACGAACAAACCAAGUCCCAAGCCACCAUACAGUGCCCACUCGGUAAUGUGAUUGGUGUCCAUGGGUAAACACGAUGAUUCAAGAGAUGUAGUUUUCUUCAACGUCAGUCUUUUGAGGGAUCAGAUGUGUAUGAUUUAGUUGAGACAGCGUAACACACCGACUUGCGUGAUUGAUUUUCGCCGUUAGGGCCAAGGCGGAUUUGAAGGUUUCCAGUCCGUCGAGCUGCUCCGAGACUACAGCUAAACCAAAGGAAAUUUGUCUACCUCGCAGUUUGCAACUUUUACAUUUCACUCUUAGAUGUCCUUGCUAGAGACAGGACACAACUUGAGUUGCAAAAUUCUGCUGUCGUGCAUCUCUUUUCUGAAUUCUAGUGAUAUCAUGACGGGGAAUGGGGAAGCCCGUGUACACUACCUCGGGAUCAAUCAGCUAGAGCUUGAAACAGAAAGAAGCGCAGAUUUUAUUACCAAAAAUGGCACUAUGAAUGAGAGAUAUUUGGGGAACUAGCAUCACAAAUAUUACAACAACCCCCAGGCUUGCGGACACCUCAAACACUGAACUAAAUUUCGACAGUCACUUAAUUGAUGGUAACAUGGAACCAACCGAGUUCCUAACGCUUUCGUGGCUGGACAACAGCAAAAAUCUGAAACAGAGUUGCCUUUGGAGCUUACAUAAAGAAACACAACCAAGCCCUCGUUUGCAAUGUUCUUCUCUCCUCUAGUUCCAUCAACAUUCAGAACUUUCAAUUCUAUGCAAUUAUGCACGACUUGGAGUGUACACACAGGUGGAAGACCUAGGUAAAUGUAAUGCUGUGCUCAAAGAACAAUCAAGUCUCACUUGGUGUAGAGGACAUCCUCCCAUGGGUGACGGUACAGUGGUUGCUUGAGUCUCUUCUGAUCAAAGGUGUGCCUGUGAAUCCAAGAAGCAGAUUAGAAUACUAAAUGUUGUGCUAAUACUACUAAUGAAAUGUCAUUGCAGAAGAAAUACUCACCCAAUUAGGCCAAUUGAACGUGCAAGCACAAAGAGUCCAUUAAGAUACCCAAUCUCUAUAAUCUCAUCAAUCUCUUGCUUGCUGAACAUACCACUCCCAGAAAGAAGAUCCAAGAAAAGAGACCCAAUCGCACCAUCGACGUUCAUAACCAAAUUGUUGGCCUUUGAAAGAGUGUAGGUCUCAACCUGGACAGCAUAUUCCAUAUACUUGACCGAAGGGAAGUUUGUGUGAGCAUAUUUCUGUAGAAGCUGCACUCUCUUGUCCCUGUUGUCUCUGCUCUUGAUCCUGAUAAAGAUAGGCAAAGUGAUAUUUGAGAAGUCAGGAACCAUAAGUAUUUCAAAAUCUUAACGCUAAAGCAAUGAUCUUUUACAUCUUAAAGAAAAAUCAGGUGCAAGGUUAUUAUGAUGCCAAGGAUGUAUUAUACCUGUGACCGAUUCCAGGGACACGGAUUCCCUUCUUUUUCAUGCCCUCAACAAAUUCAUAAGGUGUAAGACCCUAGAAGCAAUGGGUGCAGAUUUAUUAGAGCAAUUAACAAACACAUGAAACAAGGAGCUGGAAAAAAAGGGAUAGAAAAUAAGUUGGCUCACUCUAUCAUAUGCAUCUUUGAAGUACCUAGCAGCGUCAUCAAUUGCGCCACCAAAUCGCGGGCCAAUUGUCAAUAAUCCUGUGAACUUUCAAAUUAAGUAUUGGUAACCUAUGCUGUUGUCUACACAAUGUAAAAAUGUACAUGCAUGUAUUAAACAAGCUCACCAGAUACCAAGCUGGAAACAAGGUCCUUUCCAGCCCUGGCCGUAACUAUCGAAUUGUGAGCACCGGAUACACAAGGACCAUGAUCGGCACAAAGCAUGAUGCAUAUCUACAGUAGACAUGAAAGCAUUUUAGUAUAAAAUGAACUCUAAUAAUAGAGAGCGAAAAAAGUACAGCCUGUUAGAGCAGAAUGUUUGUAGAGAAGAUAGAUUAUCCAUAAUGCAUUUGACCAUAAAUUACCUCAAUAAACUGAGUGCAAUAACGAGGAAGGCUACGCUUGAACCACAGAAGAGAAAUAACAUCACCAACUCCAUAACCCCGUUCAAUAAUUGUAGACAUGGGGACACCAGCAUAGCAAGGUUCCUCACCUGCAUCACACAUACAGCUAUAUUACUUUUGCGGUGGGAUAGCAGAACAGAGGUAAAUUAUCAAGCAUAUAUAGGAUAACAUGUCGCCAACAAUCUAACCUCUGUCAUCAGAGAUAGUGGAAAUAAUGUGUGUGGGAGCUCGGACCUUCCCACUCUUAAUUGCAGUUUUAAGAUCCUCAGGAAUGGGUGGAGGUGUAAUCUCAGCCACAGGAGGAAUAUUUCCUGCCUCAACCUGCCAAAAAUAUAUUUAACCUGACCUUGAUUUCCGCAAUACACACACUCAAAACACUGUACUUGGGAAAUAUGUCGGUCAUGAACUCAAGAUGUGAAAAAUAAAUUAUCACCAUACCAGCUUGUCAAAUGUCUCCUUAAUCACACUUUCGAGAGCUUCAAAUGAAGUAGGGACAACUGCUCCAGCAUCCCUUAGUGCCUGAUUCUUAGCUUGCGCUGAUUCCAACUCACCACCACUCUUCGCCCCCUGUUAUGCCAAUUAAUUAAAAAUCAGGUUUUUGCAUACUAAUUAUAAUAUCCAGCUCACAGAAACUUGAGCAAGAAAGAACAUUGGUAGAUUUAAAAACUUACAGCGUGGCCAAACUGUACUUCAGAUUUGAAUAGACGUGCGCAUGUCCCACUAACCCAUGCAACAACAGGUUUCUGAACCUUUCCUUGUUUCAAGGCUUCGACCAGUGAAUACUCGUCGCUUCCUCCAAGCUCCCCAAGAACAACCAUCAUUUUAACCUAAAGCCAACAAAUAAUACAAUGAGAUAUUGGUACACCAAUGCUCCAUAUUUGGCUCACAAGUACUGCAGGAAGGGCAUUAUUGUGAAAGUGUACUUGUGUGCCAAACGAUCUUUAUGUCCUAAAAUUUUACAUGGUCGAGUGGGUGCAAAGAAAAUAUUGAUAGGACAAAAUUAUGGCAAAGGAGUUGCCCCAGAAAUAUUAAGA